Molecule: non-coding RNA, 174 nt
Organism: Pelobates cultripes (western spadefoot toad)
Lineage: Eukaryota; Metazoa; Chordata; Amphibia; Anura; Pelobatidae
Source: the annotation of a GenBank genome assembly
CAUUGUAUAUCGAUCGGAUGUCCACACUAAGUUCAGCACCAAUUUGGUGACUCUGAGGGAGCUUGGAGCUACCAGGUUGGUCUAAGGAGGGGUGAACCGGCCCAGGUUGGGAACAGAGCAGGUCAAAUCCCCCGUGUUGAUCAGUAGUGGGACAGCACCUGUGAAUAGACAAUG